AGGGUGCAGGGCGGAUGCCUUGGCACUAGGAGCCGAUGAAGGACGUGAUAAGCUGCGAUAAGCUUCGGGGAGUUGCACGUAAACUUUGAUCCGAAGAUUUCCGAAUGAGGAAACUCACUUAGAGUAAUGUCUAAGUAUCAUUAAGUGAAUACAUAGCUUAAUGAGGGGAACUCAGGGAACUGAAACAUCUAAGUACCUGAAGGAAGAGAAAGAAAUUCGAUUCCGUAAGUAGCGGCGAGCGAACGCGGAUUAGCCCAAACCAAUAAAGUUUUCUUUAUUGGGGUUGCGGACAUAUCAUAACGAAGAGGUAUCGUAAUUGAAGAGGUUUGGAAAGACCCACCACAGAAGGUAAUAGUCCUGUAUGUUAAACGAGAAGACUUUAGAUAUGAUCCAGAGUACCACGGGACACGUGAAACCCUGUGGGAAGCAGGAGGGACCACCCUCCAAGGCUAAAUACUACCUAGUGACCGAUAGCGUAUAGUACCGUGAGGGAAAGGUGAAAAGAACCCCGGGAGGGGAGUGAAAUAGAACCUGAAACCCUGCACUUACAAGCUGUGGAAGCACAUUUCUUGUGUGACCGCGUACUUUUUGUAGAACGGGCCAACGAGUUACGUUAAGUAGCAAGGUUAAGCACUUAAGGUGCGGAGCCGUAGCGAAAGCGAGUUUUAACUGAGCGUUCAGUUACUUGACGUAGACCCGAAACCGGGCGACCUACCCAUGAGCAGGAUGAAGCGAAAGUAAAAUUUCGUGGAGGUCCGAACCCACGAGCGUUGAAAAGCUCGGGGAUGACUUGUGGGUAGCGGUGAAAUUCCAAUCGAGCCCGGAGAUAGCUGGUUCUCCCCGAAAUAGCUUUAGGGCUAGCCUCAAGGUGAGAGAUACGGAGGUAGAGCACUGAAUGUCCUAGGGGGUAUUGCACCUACCGAAGACUAUCAAACUCCGAAUGCCGUCAUCUUAUACUUGGGAGUCAGACUGUGGGUGAUAAGAUUCAUAGUCGAAAGGGCAACAGCCCAGAUCGUCAGCUAAGGUCCCUAAAUGUAAGUUAAGUGGUAAAGGAUGUGGGAUUGCACAGACAACCAGGAUGUUGGCUUAGAAGCAGCCACUCAUUCAAAGAGUGCGUAAUAGCUCACUGGUCGAGUGAUCCUGCGCCGAAGAUUUCCGGGGCUAAAACUUACUACCGAAGCUACGGCAUCAGUAAUGAUGGGUAGGGGAGCUUCCCAUACGGGUUGAAGCAUGACCGUAAGGACAUGUGGACAGUAUGGGAGUGAGAAUGUUGGCAUGAGUAGCGAGAUGUGGGUGAGAAUCCCACAGGCCGUAAACCCAAGGUUUCCAGGGGAAGGUUCGUCCGCCCUGGGUUAGUCGGGACCUAAGCUGAGGCCGAAAGGCGUAGGUGAUGGACAACAGGUUGAUAUUCCUGUACUACCGAUAACCGUUUGAGAGAAGGGAUGACACAGUAGGAUAAGCUAAGCACACUGUUGGUUAUGUGUGCCCAAGCAUUGAGGCAGUCAAAGUAGGCAAAUCCGCUUUGAUAAUGCUGGGAUGUGAUGGGGAGCGAAAUUUAGUAGCGAAGUAGCUGAUUUCACACUGUCAAGAAAAGUCUCUAUCGAGGUUAAAGGUACCCGUACCGCAAACCGACACAGGUGGGUGAGGAGAGUAUCCUAAGGCCAGCGAGAGAACUGUUGUUAAGGAACUCGGCAAAAUGACCCCGUAACUUAGGGAUAAGGGGUGCCACCAUCAGGUGGCCGCAGAGAAUAGGCCCAAGCGACUGUUUACCAAAAACAUAGGUUUCUGCUAAGUCGCAAGACGAUGUAUAGGAGCUGACGCCUGCCCGGUGCUGGAAGGUUAAGGGGAUCUGUUAGAGCAAUCGAAGCAGUGAACUUAAGCCCCAGUAAACGGCGGCCGUAACUAUAACGGUCCUAAGGUAGCGAAAUUCCUUGUCGGGUAAGUUCCGACCCGCACGAAAGGCGUAACGAUUUGGGCACUGUCUCAACAACAGACUCGGUGAAAUUGUAAUUCCGGUGAAGAUGCCGGAUACCUGCGACAGGACGGAAAGACCCCAUGGAGCUUUACUGUAGCUUGACAUUGGGUCUUGGUACUACAUGUACAGGAUAGGUGGGAGGCUUUGAAACCAGGACGCCAGUUUUGGCGGAGCCAUCCUUGGGAUACCACCCUUGUAGUACUGGGACUCUAACCAUAGGCCAUGAAUCUGGUCUUGGGACACUGUCAGGUGGGCAGUUUGACUGGGGCGGUCGCCUCCCAAAAGGUAACGGAGGCGCUCAAAGGUUCUCUCAGUACGGUCGGAAAUCGUACGUAGAGUGUAAAGGCAAAAGAGAGCUUGAUUGCAAGACAUACAGGUCGAGCAAGGAUGAAAAUCGGACUUAGUGAUCCGGUGGUUCUGCGUGGAAGGGCCAUCGCUCAACGGAUAAAAGCUACCCUGGGGAUAACAGGCUUAUCUCCCCCAAGAGUCCACAUCGACGGGGAGGUUUGGCACCUCGAUGUCGGCUCAUCACAUCCUGGGGCUGUAGUAGGUCCCAAGGGUUGGG
RNAcentral lists this ribosomal RNA (2540 nucleotides) under Clostridioides difficile. Its description in RNAcentral is "bacterial LSU rRNA". It matches the Rfam family "Bacterial large subunit ribosomal RNA", at positions 14 to 2576 of the family's 2925-position model. Lineage: Bacteria; Bacillati; Bacillota; Clostridia; Peptostreptococcales; Peptostreptococcaceae. The record is from RNAcentral.